CAUGCAGGCGGUUUAUCAAGUAGGAUGUGAAAGCCCCGGGCUCAACCUGGGAAUUGCAUUCUAAACUGAUAGACUAGAGUAUUGCAGGGGGAGAUGGAAUUCCAGGUGUAGCGGUGGAAUGCGUAGAUAUCUGGAAGAACACCAAAGGCGAAGGCAGUCUCCUGGGCAAAUACUGACGCUCAUAUGCGAAAGCGUGGGUAGCAAACA
RNAcentral lists this ribosomal RNA (207 nucleotides) under uncultured bacterium. RNAcentral's name for it is "partial 16S ribosomal RNA". It matches the Rfam family "Bacterial small subunit ribosomal RNA", at positions 568 to 774 of the family's 1533-position model. The record is from RNAcentral.